UGGGGUAAUGGCCUACCAAGGCGACGAUGGGUAGCUGGUCUGAGAGGACGAUCAGCCACACUGGGACUGAGACACGGCCCAGACUCCUACGGGAGGCAGCAGUAGGGAAUCUUGCGCAAUGCGCGAAAGCGUGACGCAGCAACGCCGCGUGGGGGAAGAAGGCUUUCGGGUUGUAAACCCCUUUCAGUUGGGACGAAGCGAAAGUGACGGUACCUGCAAAAGAAGCGCCGGCUAACUACGUGCCAGCAGCCGCGGUAACACGUAGGGCGCAAGCGUUGUCCGGAAUCAUUGGGCGUAAAGAGCUCGUAGGCGGUCUGUUGCGUCCGCUGUGAAAACUCGGGGCUUAACCCCGAGCUUGCAGUGGAUACGGGCAGACUAGAGGUAGGUAGGGGGGAAUGGAAUUCCCGGGUGUAGCGGUGAAAUGCGCAGAUAUCGGGAGGAACACCGGGUGGCGAAAGGCGGUUCUCUGGGCCUUACCUGACGCUGAGGAGCGAAAGCGUGGGGAGCGAACAGGAUUAGAUACCCUGGUAGUCCACGCCGUAAACGUUGGGCGCUAAGGUGUGGGGUCCUUCCACGGACUCCGUGCCGCAGCUAACGCAUUAAGCGCCCGCCCUGGGGAGUACGGCCGCAAGGCUAA
This 637-nucleotide ribosomal RNA is filed under the name uncultured bacterium. RNAcentral's name for it is "bacterial SSU rRNA". It matches the Rfam family "Bacterial small subunit ribosomal RNA", at positions 253 to 897 of the family's 1533-position model. The record is from RNAcentral.